RNAcentral lists this ribosomal RNA (460 nucleotides) under uncultured bacterium. RNAcentral's name for it is "partial 16S ribosomal RNA". It matches the Rfam family "Bacterial small subunit ribosomal RNA", at positions 338 to 795 of the family's 1533-position model. The record is from RNAcentral.
CCUACGGGAGGCAGCAGUGAGGAAUAUUGGUCAAUGGCCGGAAGGCUGAACCAGCCAAGUCGCGUGAGGGAAUAAGGCCCUAUGGGUCGUAAACCUCUUUUGUCAGGGAGCAAAGGCGUCCACGUGUGGACGAGAGGAGAGUACCUGAAGAAAAAGCAUCGGCUAACUCCGUGCCAGCAGCCGCGGUAAUACGGAGGAUGCGAGUGUUAUCCGGAUUUAUUGGGUUUUAAGGGUGCGUAGGCGGGACCUUAAGUCAGCGGUAAAAUUGCGGUGCUCAACGCCGUAGAGCCGUUGAAACUGGGGUUCUUGAGUGAGCGAGAAGUAUGCGGAAUGCGUGGUGUAGCGGUGAAAUGCAUAGAUAUCACGCAGAACCCCGAUUGCGAAGGCAGCAUACCGGCGCUCAACUGACGCUGAGGCACGAAAGUGCGGGUAUCGAACAGGAUUAGAUACCCGUGUAGUC